Long non-coding RNA from Ostrea edulis (European flat oyster), 1200 nucleotides. RefSeq lists it as uncharacterized. The record is from RefSeq and is a predicted model, not a curated record. The transcript is spliced from 3 exons. Lineage: Eukaryota; Metazoa; Mollusca; Bivalvia; Ostreida; Ostreidae.
UUAAAAUAGGAAACACUAUUUGUGACACCUGAUUCUAUAUCAAAAUCAUUUUAAUUUUCUUAUAACCAGUAUAGGUGCAUUUUUUAAAAUCCAAUCACAACCCACAUAGUUGAAAAUACAUAUUAAAAGUGCUCUUCAUUAGCUAAUUUUUAUCACAUCAAAUAUGAAGACCUUAAGAAUCUAUUUUAGUUAAUUUUGCAUAAGAUGAACAAUUUCAAACAUAAUUUUUAAUCAAAUGAAUAUUUCUUAUCAGCAAAAAUGUAUCGGAUGUAAUGAUUUAGCACGGGUCUUUUAACCAAAAGUCUGUAUAGCUUACCUGAUCACCAUUUUUCUUUGAUCAUAAUGUCCGUUAUACUUGUUGUCUACAGAAUUUGGUAACUUGUGAACUUGAUUGAAAAUUGAAUUAUUGACACCUCUGCAGGUAUCGAGAUCAUUGCCAUCACCACAAAUUGAUAGUUGGUAGUUCAGCUUCAUUGAAUGAAAUAUAUUUACUUAAAUUUCAGUAUACAAGGAAUCUGUUCACUGAAAUUCCAAGAAGAUUCCAUGACUUGCUUGCCAUACAACAAACAACAGAAUAUGGACGUGAUUCCUAGAAUAAGAACUUGAAUGGGUCAGACUUGAAUACAUGCAAAGUCAUGUAGCAAUAUUAAAGGUGUUGUACUUCAGGAAAAGGGGAAGCGUAUUUGUUGGAAGAUGGAUAAAGAAAAAUUGGAGCAUGCACUAGACUUCUUUAAAUCCUGCUUUUUUAUCAGGUAACAUCAUUGAGUACAAAAGAAAUGUACCUUCACAGCAGACAACUUAUAACCUUUCGACAAGAAAUUGGGACUGCCUGCCAUUCAACCAUUGUACAUAUAUGAAUUUACCAGUCCUGUUGUGAAGAAACUUAUUUCAUCAUCUUUCAAGGGCCAUGUUAUUUAGGAUUUUAACUACUUGUCCUGCAUCACAAGCUUAAAAAGACUUCACAAUCUGGCUGCAGAUGGAACUGCAUGGUUUGAAAUCCUCAUAGGAAUUCUGAGAAGCAUGGAGGCCUAUUAACCAGAUAAUGAGAUUGUUAUGAGAUUGAUCACUGUACGUUAUCUUCACCUUGGAUAAUGACAAGAUUUCAUAGCUGGAGGAGUACCAGGAAAAUUUACUUGCAGCAAAAUUGUACAUAAAGAGAGACUCACUCAAGCAUGAAUGUAGAAUAAUUAUAAAGAUACA